This 579-nucleotide ribosomal RNA is filed under the name Triticum aestivum (bread wheat). Its description in RNAcentral is "partial small subunit ribosomal RNA". The record is from RNAcentral. Lineage: Eukaryota; Viridiplantae; Streptophyta; Magnoliopsida; Poales; Poaceae.
AUGGUUUUUGUCUGCUUUGAGGCUUGUCGUCGGGGUUUUUUGGCAGGCUGCAGGCCUUAUUUGUCUAUUGAUGCCACUUUUCUCAUAGGGAGGUUUAAAGGACAGUUAGUAGCAGCUUGUGUAGUUGAUGCACACAGUUUUGUAUUUCCAGUUGCCUACGGUGUGCUGGAGACAGAGUCUGAGGAGAGCUGGACUUGGUUUUUGCAUAAUCUGCGCCGGGCUAUUGCACAUCCGAAUGGGUUGGUCAUUCAUACAGAUGCCUGCAAAGGUUUAGAAGUGGCCGUGGACAAUGUGUUCCCUGGAGUAGAGCAUAGGGAAUGCAUGUGUCACCUUGCUGCAAAUUUCAUGAAGAAAUUCAAAGGAAAGGUGUAUACCGACAAUUUAUGGCCAGCAUCUUUGAAUUGCAGUGUGAAGAAGCACAACUACCACUUGAGGCAGUUAUACAUGAAUCCCAAAGUGAAAGAAUACUUGGAAACACACCACUCCAAGUUAUGGGCCAGAAGCCAAUUCAGUGAACUGAGCAAAGUUGACUAUGUGCACAAUAAUCUAGCAGAGUCUUUCAACUCAACGAUCCGGAAA